AAAAUCCGUCGACUUUAGAAAUCGUGAGGGUUNAAGUC
This 38-nucleotide transfer RNA is filed under the name Inga ciliata. RNAcentral's name for it is "partial tRNA-Leu". Lineage: Eukaryota; Viridiplantae; Streptophyta; Magnoliopsida; Fabales; Fabaceae. The record is from RNAcentral.